Molecule: small nuclear RNA, 122 nt
Organism: Drosophila innubila
Lineage: Eukaryota; Metazoa; Arthropoda; Insecta; Diptera; Drosophilidae
Product: U5 spliceosomal RNA
Exons: 1
Source: RefSeq, a predicted model, not a curated record
UCACUCUGGCUUCUAUUCAUUUGUCGAUUAAGUCUUUUGCCUUUUACUAAAGAUUUCCCUGGAGAGGGGCACUCUAAUGAGUCUAAAUUAAAUUUUUAGCCGCGGUUGGCACUGUUGCCAGA